Molecule: ribosomal RNA, 122 nt
Organism: Gasterosteus aculeatus aculeatus (three-spined stickleback)
Lineage: Eukaryota; Metazoa; Chordata; Actinopteri; Perciformes; Gasterosteidae
Source: Ensembl
GCUUACGGCCAUACCUCUCUGGCUCCGGCUUGAUCUCGUCUGAUCUCAGAAGCUAAGCAGAGUAGCGCCUGGUUAGUACUUGAAUGGAAGAUCGCCCUGAGAAUCCCAGGUGCCGUAAAGCU